This 468-nucleotide ribosomal RNA is filed under the name uncultured bacterium. RNAcentral describes it as "partial 16S ribosomal RNA". It matches the Rfam family "Bacterial small subunit ribosomal RNA", at positions 28 to 507 of the family's 1533-position model. The record is from RNAcentral.
GACGAACGCUGGCGGCGUGCUUAACACAUGCAAGUCGAACGGAAAGGCCCUGCUUUUGUGGGGUGCUCGAGUGGCGAACGGGUGAGUAACACGUGAGUAACCUGCCCUUGACUUUGGGAUAACUUCAGGGAACUGGGGCUAAUACCGGAUAGGAGCUCCUGCUGCAUGGGGGGGGUUGGAAAGUUUCGGCGGUUGGGGAUGGACUCGCGGCUUAUCAGCUUGUUGGUGGGGUAGUGGCUUACCAAGGCUUUGAAGGGUAGCCGGCCUGAGAGGGUGACCGGCCACAUGGGGACUGAGAGACGGCCCAGAGUCCUACGGGAGGCAGCAGUGGGGAAUAUUGCACAAUGGGCGGGAGCCUGAGGCAGCAACGCCGCGUGCGGGAUGACGGCCUUCGGGUGGGAAACCGCUUUCGCCUGUGACGAAGCGGGAGUGACGGUAAUGGGUAAAGAAGCACCGGCUAACUACGUG